UGCGGCUGGAUCCCCUCCUUUCUAAGGAGACCGGGUGUCGGACAGCGCCUCCGGGCGCAGUAGGCGACACCAGGCACUUUCGGGUGCCUUCAGGUCAACCAGGUCAACGCUUCGCAAUCAGAUGUCCCCUUGAGCUUGCUAUUCGGUUUUGAGAGACCGAGCUUCUUCCAGAAGCGCGGAUAUCUCUGUUCUUUGACAAGUGCAUACGAAGGGUAGCCAGUAAUUGUAGGUAAAGGCUUCAAUUUUGCUGAGGCACACGCCGUCGCGCCGGGAGGCGCUCAAGAGGCGGUGUGCAACUCAAGUCAGGGCCAACUCGAGGCGAAGAGCCUGAGGGCCUGGGCCUUGGUUUUGAGCCUCGUGUGAGGCGAAGAAAUCAGGGCAAGUAAGCUACUAAGGGCGUGUGGUGGAUGCCUAGGUGCUCAGAGGCGAAGAAGGACGUGGGUGGCUGCGAAAAGCGUCGGGGAGGUGCCAACCAACCGUUGAGCCGGCGAUGUCCGAAUGGGGAAACCCGG
This 512-nucleotide unclassified non-coding RNA is filed under the name uncultured bacterium. Its description in RNAcentral is "partial contains 16S ribosomal RNA, 16S-23S ribosomal RNA intergenic spacer, and 23S ribosomal RNA". The stretch from base 381 to 512 matches the Rfam family "Bacterial large subunit ribosomal RNA", at positions 1 to 131 of the family's 2925-position model. The record is from RNAcentral.